This 490-nucleotide ribosomal RNA is filed under the name uncultured bacterium. RNAcentral's name for it is "partial 16S ribosomal RNA". It matches the Rfam family "Bacterial small subunit ribosomal RNA", at positions 30 to 507 of the family's 1533-position model. The record is from RNAcentral.
AUUGAACGCUGGCGGCAGGCCUAACACAUGCAAGUCGAACGGUAACAGGAAGCAGCUUGCUGCUUUGCUGACGAGUGGCGGACGGGUGAGUAAUGUCUGGGAAACUGCCUGAUGGAGGGGGAUAACUACUGGAAACGGUAGCUAAUACCGCAUAACGUCGCAAGACCAAAGAGGGGGGCCUUCGGGCCUCUUGCCAUCGGAUGUGCCCAGAUGGGAUUAGCUAGUAGGUGGGGUAAAGGCUCACCUAGGCGACGAUCCCUAGCUGGUCUGAGAGGAUGACCAGCCACACUGGAACUGAGACACGGUCCAGACUCCUACGGGAGGCAGCAGUGGGGAAUAUUGCACAAUGGGCGCAAGCCUGAUGCAGCCAUGCCGCGUGUAUGAAGAAGGCCUUCGGGUUGUAAAGUACUUUCAGCGGGGAGGAAGGGAGUAAAGUUAAUACCUUUGCUCAUUGACGUUACCCGCAGAAGAAGCACCGGCUAACUCCGUG